GGCAGCGAGGCGACGGGAGUGGGUGGGAGAGGGAGAGGGGGCGAGGUGCCUGGUGGCGAAUCCGGCGGAGAAGGCGGCGGCGAGGAGGGGGAGGGGAGGGAGGCGGGGGAGGGAGAGGGCAGCGAUGGGGAGGAGAAGGAGCGGGAGCAGGGCAUGAGAUGGCUGGAGGGGGAAGGGGAGGUCGGGCUCGGCGGCGAGGUCGGCCCAACCGUUGUAGGAGGAGCAGCGGGCAGCGGCAGCUCUCAGGCGAGCCCCGGGUCUGGCCCUGCUCCUUAGCCGGAGGAGGAGGAAGAGAGGCUGCGGCUGCGGGGAGGAGGAGGCGGCGAUGAUGGUGGCGGUGGAGCUCGUUGCCAUUUCACUCGCAUCUCAGUGUUGGAUUGGAAAUUUG
This 388-nucleotide long non-coding RNA is filed under the name Oryza sativa (Asian cultivated rice). RNAcentral's name for it is "long non-coding RNA (OSAT_LNC001258)". Lineage: Eukaryota; Viridiplantae; Streptophyta; Magnoliopsida; Poales; Poaceae. The record is from RNAcentral.